This 240-nucleotide unclassified non-coding RNA is filed under the name soil metagenome. Its description in RNAcentral is "partial contains 5.8S ribosomal RNA, internal transcribed spacer 2, and large subunit ribosomal RNA". The record is from RNAcentral.
AACGAGGCCGACCUGCGGCUGAGUUACCUGCGGAAGGAUCAUUACAGAGUUCAUGCCCUCACGGGUAGAUCUCCCACCCUUGAAUACUAUACCUUUGUUGCUUUGGCGGGCCGCUUUGGCUACUGGCUCUGGCUAGUAAGUGCCCGCCAAAGAACCCCAAAACUCUGAAUAUUAGUGUCGUCUGAGUACUAUAUAAUAGUUAAAACUUUCAACAAUGGAUCUCAGAUCGGAAGAGCACAC